GGAAAGAUGCUCGAGUGGUUGAAGAGGCACGCCUGGAAAGCGUGUAUACCCCUAAAGGGUAUCAGGGGUUCGAAUCCCCUUCUUUCCG
Molecule: transfer RNA, 88 nt
Filed under: Dysgonamonadaceae bacterium
Lineage: Bacteria; Pseudomonadati; Bacteroidota; Bacteroidia; Bacteroidales; Dysgonomonadaceae
Description: tRNA-Ser
Rfam family: tRNA
About the family: Transfer RNA (tRNA) molecules are approximately 80 nucleotides in length. Their secondary structure includes four short double-helical elements and three loops (D, anti-codon, and T loops).
Source: RNAcentral